CCGUCGGUACUGCGGAGGACAUUA
This 24-nucleotide ribosomal RNA is filed under the name Gloeophyllum abietinum. RNAcentral's name for it is "partial 18S small subunit ribosomal RNA". Lineage: Eukaryota; Fungi; Basidiomycota; Agaricomycetes; Gloeophyllales; Gloeophyllaceae. The record is from RNAcentral.